RNAcentral lists this long non-coding RNA (657 nucleotides) under Daphnia pulex (common water flea). RNAcentral's name for it is "uncharacterized LOC124194490, transcript variant X1". The record is from RNAcentral. Lineage: Eukaryota; Metazoa; Arthropoda; Branchiopoda; Diplostraca; Daphniidae.
UGUCAGCGCGGAUCAUCAUUUGUUGUUGGUAAUAUGUGUUCGUUUGUGUUAGUUAACCCGUUGUCUGCCACGCCUUUGUUCUCAACACCACCAGCAGGGUCAAACAAAGUUCUAAAUCUGUCAACCCGUGGGCUGCUUUAUCCUUGGAAUGGGACCACUCUUAUUUUGAGGUUAACCCUGCACCGCUAUUCCAUGGACGAAAUCCAUUGGUGGAAACUGACUAGAGAUCAGUGACGACUGACUGACGUGCUGAAUGCUCACAUGCGUGCCAUCCUUCCGUCGCCUCGAGGCAUGGGGGAGUUGUGCCUGCUCCAGCUACGCGUCUAGCGAAGCGUAAUUCGACUACGCAACCGACCGCUUGUCAACUCACCCCUCGGCCCUCGCUGACUCCUAGCCUACUACCCUUGCUCUCAUCUUUCAACACAGCACGGGGUUUUGUCCUUUAGAUCGUUUGGGUGUUUGUGAUCUGUUAUGGCGGUUUCUUGAGGACGACGAUGAUGUGGCGCGAGUGUCUUCAGGGACGCUAAUCUGCCAUUUUGAUCCAAGACGCAGCGGAAACGGGUUGUUGGUUGUGACGUUUCUCACGAUGAAAAUCAAAAGGUGAUUUAGCACGUAGAAACCAAUUUUCCAAAUCAUUCAACUCAGACUUGGAAGUGC